CCUACGGGGAGCAGCAGUGGGGAAUAUUGCACAAUGGGCGAAAGCCUGAUGCAGCUACGCCGCGUGAGUGAAGAAGGCCUUCGGGUCGUAAAGCUCUGUCAUCAAGGAAGAUAAUGACGGUACUUGAGGAAGAAGCCCCGGCUAACUACGUGCCAGCGGCCGCGGUAAUACGUAGGGGGCUAGCGUUAUCCGGAAUUACUGGGCGUAAAGGGGGCGUAGGGGGUGUCUAAAGUCAUAGGUGAAAGGCAACGGCUAAACCGUAGUAAGCCUUUGAAAAUGGGGAACUUGAGUGCAGGAGAGGAGAGCGGAAUUCCUAGUGUAGCGGUGAAAUGCGUAGAUAUUAGGAGGAACACCAGUUGCGAAGGCGGCUCUCUGGACUGUAACUGACACUGAGGCACGAAAGCGUGGGGAGCAAACAGGAUUAGAUACCCGAGUAGUC
RNAcentral lists this ribosomal RNA (439 nucleotides) under uncultured bacterium. RNAcentral's name for it is "partial 16S ribosomal RNA". It matches the Rfam family "Bacterial small subunit ribosomal RNA", at positions 338 to 795 of the family's 1533-position model. The record is from RNAcentral.